GCGGGCGUGGUGGAACUGGUAGACACGCUGGAUUUAGGUUCCAGUGGCCCUGGCCAUGGGGGUUCAAAUCCCUCCGCCCGCA
This 82-nucleotide transfer RNA is filed under the name Pararhodospirillum oryzae. RNAcentral's name for it is "Rhodospirillum oryzae tRNA". It matches the Rfam family "tRNA". Rfam says of the family: Transfer RNA (tRNA) molecules are approximately 80 nucleotides in length. Their secondary structure includes four short double-helical elements and three loops (D, anti-codon, and T loops). The record is from Rfam by way of RNAcentral. RNAcentral also lists the same sequence under 1 other name. Lineage: Bacteria; Pseudomonadati; Pseudomonadota; Alphaproteobacteria; Rhodospirillales; Rhodospirillaceae.